UGCAAAGCCAUAGUUUGCACACAUAUUAUAUUCAUACGAUUCUCAUAUCAUUUCAAAAUUACAUGAUUGUCAUAUAAGAAUUAUAUAAUAAUUAUAUAAGGGAUCAUAUAAUUUUGAUAUGAUGCCCUUAUCACAUAAUUCGCAUAUCAGAAUUAUAUGAUUCUCAUAUAAGACCAAUGAUAUGAUUCUGAUAUGAUGCCCUUUUUAUCAUCUCAUAUCAGCGCAAUUAUAUAAGAAUCAUAUCAUUUUGAUAUGAGAAUGAUAUGUGGCGAAAUCCCCUGUGUACAUGAAGCAGCAGACUUGAUUAGCUCCAAUCUUAAAUUGUUUUUAAAAAUGUUCGGUUAUUUUUAACCGGGUUUGUAAACUCAAAUAUAAUCGGGUUCAACAUCCUUUUUAUUCCAAUUGGUGAAACAACAAGCAUCAACUCUAAAAUUCUGAAGAAGAAAUCCAACUGAUCAUCAACAAUAUAAAGUCAUCGAAGGAUACCAUUUAGGCUAAUACGAUGCCAAAGAUAAAAUCCUGUAGCACUCCCGCCAGGUCUCCAUCUGUAAGGAAACGGACGCCUGCACGGAAAUCGCUGAAUGACCCCAUGACCGCAAAUCAGACGGCUCGCAAUGACCCCAUGAUCGCAACUCAGACGGGUUUGGACAACGCCACUAUUAACAUCCUGACUAGCGCUGCCACAUGGUUCCCAACAUCCGCCGGUGUCCACGGCCAACCGCACAAUUUAAAGGCUGCCACUUCAGCACCACAGAUGGUUUCAGCUCCAAUGGCCAUUUCCCAAUUGAUAAAUCAAGAUUACGUUUUAAAAAAAAGCAAUUAUAUAUAACGUGUUAAUCUUCUUUUUCAAAGAUGAAAAGAUAAAACUAAGAAAUAGUAAUGACUCGAGAUCUAACGUCGUUUCUAUUUGUUAUGUUAAUAGAAAAGUACAUAUUCCAGAGGUUGUUUUGCGCAAUUUAAAUUCAAAGGACCAGACCCACCCGAGGAUAGCAUAUGAAGAAAACCCAGAAAGCUCGGAAGAAAACAACACGGAGGAUACCACGCCAGACAAAUUUGAUUUGGAAGAUAGUAGUGAAAAUGAAAAAUCAAGAUUUGAAGGGAAAUUUUCUGACACGAAAGAACUGUUAGCAGUCAUAAAAGCUCGAAAGAAAAAGAGGAAUUUUUUACUUGGAAUAUGUGGGACGGACUCGCAGAGGAAUUAAAAGGGGAACUUAAAUUUAAAACAUCCUAGUUCUAAACAAUUUCUAGAAAGGUUUUAUUCACUCAGAAGAUCGUUUAGAAAUUAUAUCGCAUUGAAGAAAACGACAUGAAACACGAGAAUAAAACCAAUUCUCCAUGAGAUGAAUAAAUACUAAAAGGGGGAGGGAACAGCCAUACAGUCACGAUGACGUCAUGGGGUUUUCCAAACCCCGCCCACAAUUGUCAUAAUGAAGGUCACAUUCAAGGGGCGAGUACUGUAAACCAACUUCUAUUCGCGCAAACCUGGUCAUCGCGAAUAUUUCUCGCCGCAAACCAGUCGUUAUCAUAUGGUCGUUAUAACAAAAUACGGGUCUGGAUAAGGCUUGGUCGCGAACAUUAGUCGUCGCGAACCAGUUUAUUGGAAGUCAAUCGUGAAAAGUCGCUGUAAAUAAAUGUAGGUUUACAGUAUACAGUCAAUAAGUGAGUAUACAGUCAAAGGGGUGUCUACAGUCAAAAGGCCUUAUAAUUUAUAUUUUAGCUGAUAACAACCAGUAUGACUUUCUAUGCUAUGGGCGUUAACGGUUACACCCACAAUAUUUGACGUCCCAUAUUUAAACUUAUAACAACCACAAUGACAUUCUAUAUUAUGCGCGUUAACGGUUACACAUUGAGUGAGAUACAGUAUAAAAUAUGGCAAGUCCUUGGAUUUACAUCAUUUACAGUGAGAACCAAUGAACAAUUCACGGUAAGCACCUGAAUAAUAUACGGAAAUGAAACACAGAACAUGACGUAUUUGCGUUUCAAAGAUAUUAGACACACUUUUAAAAAUGGCAUUUACAUUUAUAUAAUCUUAAAGAGGAUGAUCAUACAUAUUUGUAGUAAAAAGAUAAAUGAUGGAUGUACCCUCCUAUUUAAGAUAUCCCCAAAUCUAUUUUUAGCUCUCCCCAGUAGGCUAAAAUUGAGUACAAAAUGAAACUUUUACAACCCCUUAUAUAAUAUCAAUGAACACAAAAAACUCAUAUUCUUUUGUUGUCUUUAAAGAGUAAACAAUCAUAACAAUCCAUAAAAACCAUUAUUUUGUUCACCAUGUAAUUCUUUGGGGGAAUCCGAGUAGGUUUUUUAAAUAGAGUGACUACCUUGACUUUAAUGUAUCCGAAUGCUGAAUAGCUAUAUGUCUGAUACAACGGAUAAAUAAUAUUUUUAAUUUGUUUAUAUAAAUCAAAAUUAUUUUGUGUACCAUUGUUUCAAGGGAAUUUGUUGGAUUUACUGUAAUUUACAAGAUAUCCAAUUUUGAAAAUCAGUGAAAAUGUUAUGAAAUUAUCUCCCUUUGUAAACUCUUCAGUAAGUGAAGGGGGAAAACACCUAUUGUUUACAUGGAGGGAAAUGUCGUCUGGUGAGUGUUGCUUUGGCACAGCGACAGAUUGUAACAAUAAUGUGAUAUAUUAUUUAAAAGACUGCAUGAAAACAACAUAUCACCAUUUAAGAUACCUGAAUGCGAACUCUAAAGGCAUAGACCUGCUAGAAAGUUAUUUAAUCCUGUGCAGAGCUGGUGUGAAUGUUAUUACUGCAGCCCAUCUAGACCGAAAAAUUUGCCAGUUUCACAGGGAUUUUUUUGGUUUGUAUUGGAAGCGAAGCAAACGGUCAUGUACACAUCCAUUUCAGGGAAAUUCAAAAUCAAAGCCAGACAGAGGCAUCACCCCAGUAAUGAGUAGAGAACUAUGGCUGCGUCUUCAACUCUCAGUUCCCAUAGGCGAAGAUCUUACAUUACCAAUUUAAAACAUGUUUGCUGUAGUCCAUUUUGUGGAUGACGAAAGUGUCGAAUGUGUACCUAAAUCAUGGCUUGAAGGACAAUACUGUUAUUGGCCACACCUGAAUGCGAAGAAAAAAAUACAAAAAAUGUCCCUACCAGACAAGGACACCUGGAAAAAGUACAAAUACAGGAAAAUUGGACAAGGUAAAAUAUAAAGUUUUAAUAUUAGAAACUGACAUGAUACACUUUUGAAAAU
This is a long non-coding RNA of Magallana angulata, 3185 nucleotides long. RefSeq lists it as uncharacterized. NCBI's taxonomy places the organism in Eukaryota, Metazoa, Mollusca, Bivalvia, Ostreida, Ostreidae. The transcript has 3 exons. The record is from RefSeq and is a predicted model, not a curated record.